RNAcentral lists this ribosomal RNA (488 nucleotides) under uncultured bacterium. Its description in RNAcentral is "bacterial SSU rRNA". It matches the Rfam family "Bacterial small subunit ribosomal RNA", at positions 28 to 502 of the family's 1533-position model. The record is from RNAcentral.
GAUGAACGCUAGCGGCAGGCUUAAUACAUGCAAGUUGAGGGGCAGCAUGAUAUACGUGAGUAUAUUGAUGGCGACCGGCGGACGGGUGAGUAAUAGGUAGGAGACCUACCUCAUACAGGGGGAUAGCAUAGAGAAAUCUGUGGUAAUACCCCAUGAGGUUAUAUGAAUAGAGGCAUAUAAUCAAAGCAUAAGCGAUUAUGCGGUAUGAGAGGGGCCUACUGACCAUUAGCUAGUUGGUGAGGUAAGGGCUCACCAAGGCGAAGAUGGUUAGGGGUUUUGAGAGAGAGACCCCCCACAUUGGAACUGAGAGACGGUCCAGACUCCUACGGGAGGCAGCAGUAGGGAAUAUUGGGCAAUGGGCGAAAGCCUGACCCAGCCAUGCCGCGUGAAGGAGACGGCCUUAUGGGUUGUAAACUUCUUUACUACGCGAAUAGAGGUUAGUACGAGAUACUAAUAGGAAGGUAGUGUAGUAAAAGCACCGGCUAACU